RNAcentral lists this ribosomal RNA (253 nucleotides) under uncultured bacterium. RNAcentral's name for it is "partial 16S ribosomal RNA". It matches the Rfam family "Bacterial small subunit ribosomal RNA", at positions 524 to 776 of the family's 1533-position model. The record is from RNAcentral.
UACGUAGGUGGCAAGCGUUGUCCGGAUUUACUGGGCGUAAAGGGCGUGCAGGCGGUCUGUUAAGUGCAGGGUGAAAGCUCCCGGCUCAACUGGGAGAGGUCCUUGCAUACUGGCGGACUUGAGGGGGGUAGAGGAAAGUGGAAUUCCCGGUGUAGUGGUGAUAUGCGUAGAUAUCGGGAGGAACACCUGUGGCGAAGGCGGCUUUCUGGGCCGUACCUGACGCUGAGACGCGAAAGCGUGGGGAGCAAACAGG